Molecule: ribosomal RNA, 64 nt
Filed under: Xiphinema hunaniense
Lineage: Eukaryota; Metazoa; Nematoda; Enoplea; Dorylaimida; Longidoridae
Description: partial 5.8S ribosomal RNA
Source: RNAcentral
AGUAGACUUAUAUAAAGUCGAAUCAUUCGUGAUUCCAUUCUAAGCGGUGGAUCACUCGGCUCGU